AAUACGCACCAUCAGAAGAAUAUUCUGGAAGGCCAUUCUUCAUCACGAAAAUGGUAGGGUCAUGAAGGAUUAAGAGGAAGGGGGUUGCGAGAAGCUUCUUGGAGAGAAAAAGAGUGUGAUACUCCGUUUUGGAAAAAGAAGAUUGUAUGAUGAGAGAAAUCCUCUUGUAAUCUCUGUUGAAUUGAAGAUUGAAUAUAGUGGAGUGGCGACAGUGGAUGUAGAUCAAAUUAUGAUCCAACCACUAUAAAAUCCUGGUGUAUUCUCUUCCCUUCUUCUCACUUCAGUUUUCUUGAUUUCUCUGUUUGUUAAAUUCUGGAUAGUAAUAGUGUUAGAUUCUUGAACAAUUGAGAGUUGAAAACUUGAUACAGAAUUGAUUUAGUAGCAGAGUAGAAAUUGAUUCUCAACAUAGUUGUUUGUCUCUUUUUUUUUUUCAUCUUUGCAUAAUUCUUUGAGCUUUUGAGUCCUUAAUUCCGGAUAUCUUAUUUUCAUUAUUUUUUAUCCUGGUUGGUUGGAUCUUGAAUAUUAGAUUCUUGAUUCUUAGUUUCUUAUUUUGUGAGUUCUACUUGUUCCUUACCUGAGUUUGACACUUAACAAAUAUUCCUAUUUGAUUGGUUACUUGUUUGGUUCUUAGUUUCUUGGUUGCAAAACUCUUAGUUCAUCACCAUAUAAUUGAGACGAAAUUGCAUCCUUGUGGGAAAUAAUAUCCAUUUUAGAGUGUAAACACCAGUGAAACCACAUCAAUUGAGUGAAACAUGUGAGAAAGUGAAUUGUGAGGUCCACUUUUCUUUUGAUCGUUUUCUCUGUUGCAGUGAUGUAAAAAACUUGGGAGGUAGACCUAAUAAUGGAGAUGUAGAAGAGAUGGAACUAAAAGAACAAUUCUUUGUGAGAGUCAUGUACAAUGUGAAGACUAUGAUCAAUGAGAGGUUGGAUAUGGAGCAAAGACUUCAAGUUAGGGAUAAACCUCAAGGAAGGAGGUAGCCUAAGAAGUUUUGGAGGAAGAAGACUUAGGGGAAGAAGAUGAAGACGGGGAGCCGAGGUUGCAAUACCUAGAAGAGGGGAACGUCGAGGCUUGAGAGGAAGAGAAGGUUUCCAAAAUAGAAAGCAACAAGGGAUCAAAGGAGAGGAGACAACCAUGGAGAUCGGGGCUUUGACAUUAAGGUUAAAUUUCACUUCCAACCCAGGAGAUUAUUUAGAAUGGGAACAAGAAGAUGAACAUUUAUUUUAUGGCAACAACCUCACUAAAGAGAGAAAGAUAACUAUGUCUGUUACAGUACAUUUUAAGAGUUAUGCACAAACUUGGUGGGAUAAGGUGUGUUUUAGGAGAAGGAGACGAUAAGAAGGUCUACUGGAAACAUAUGGUUGGAAUUGAAGGAGCUUAUGAAGAGGUGGUUCGUACCCCUAUAGACAUCGUA
Long non-coding RNA from Momordica charantia (bitter melon), 1412 nucleotides. RefSeq lists it as uncharacterized. NCBI's taxonomy places the organism in Eukaryota, Viridiplantae, Streptophyta, Magnoliopsida, Cucurbitales, Cucurbitaceae. The record is from RefSeq and is a predicted model, not a curated record.